UGUCCAGGGAUGGGAAUCGAACCCACAGUGUUCCGCUUACCGGGCAGAUGCCAUGUCCACUAGGCUACCUC
Molecule: transfer RNA, 71 nt
Filed under: Cordylochernes scorpioides
Lineage: Eukaryota; Metazoa; Arthropoda; Arachnida; Pseudoscorpiones; Chernetidae
Description: tRNA-Thr
Source: RNAcentral